Molecule: RNA transcript, 1186 nt
Organism: Spinacia oleracea (spinach)
Lineage: Eukaryota; Viridiplantae; Streptophyta; Magnoliopsida; Caryophyllales; Amaranthaceae
Gene name: beta carbonic anhydrase 5, chloroplastic-like
Exons: 6
Source: RefSeq, a predicted model, not a curated record
CUUCCCUUACCUUUCCCUUCGUCGUCCCCUAACGAAAAAACCUAAGCCGCAUCUCAAAAUUUCAGUUCUGUUGUUCGCGUCCCGUUCUCCUCUCCUCACUUCGAACACUCUUUCUCUUCGUUCCUCUACAUCGCCAGCCACCACCUCCUUCAUGCCGACGCUGCUGGUGCGGUGGUUGCGAUGGUUAUUGCGUUGUUGUGGUUGAUGGUGUUGUCCUGCGUCCGUGCUCGGCUUUCCUCUAUUUGUCGCCGCCAAUAAUGGUGGCCACCAACACAACAUCAUUUGCAAUCUAUCACUAAUUGGUAAAUUGAUUUCAAUUUCUCCCUCAAUUGAUUUAAUAAGUUCUUGAUUUAAAAUCCCAAAACCCUAACUAAUCGAUUCAAUUUUCUUUUACCCCUGGCUUGCGCCGCGCGUUCUGGUUGUUGGGUGCAACGGCGCUCUAUCGUCUCCGCCGCCUCCUUGUUCGUUGGUGUGAAAGCUAAUUAUGUUCUUGAUCUCCCCUUCCCUCUCCUCCAUUGUUGCUGCUCGUUUCUAGCCCAAGGGACUGGAGAAGUAUGUCAUGACAAAAUUAUUUACUCGUGUUUUCGCUUCAUUUCCUGAUGAUGUAAAGAUUGAUGAACAGCUUUCUGAAAAGAUUGCUUUAGUUCAGCAAUUCAUCCGCCUAGAAAAUCUGGAUAUCAUGCCAACCUUUCAAAAUGAGUCAUCGUGGCUGGACUGAAGUUGAGACUGAUGACUGACAAUUUUGGGAACAGUUUACAGUGAUUGCCUGUGCAGAUUCUAGAGUUUUCCCUUCUAACAUUCUUGGAAUUCAACCUGGAGAUGCUUUCACUAUGCGCAAUGUGGCGAAUCUGGUGUUUCCUUUUGAGACUGGGCCCCCAGAGACAAAAGCCGCACUUGAAUUUUCGGUUAAUACUCUUCAGGUUGUAAAUGACUUGUUGAAUCCAGCCGGACAGAAUCUAUGAAUCAGAGAAGACCCGCCAUCAGGUAUAUACUCCGAGGAAUGCGCCUUAUGCUAGUGAGGAAAUUGAUAUGGUUCGUGAGCAAUGGGCUAUGUUUUUUACCAGCAAGUAUUUGUUAUUGGCCUGGGCGCUUGAUCGAGUUGGUUUAGAUAUAAUAGAAUAAUCUUUUAUAUUAAAAUGUAUGCGUUCGUUGAAAUUGGAACGUACAUAUAUUUAAAUGUAUGUGG